AAUGAGUUGCUUAUUGCACCACAUGUGUUUUUCUUUGAAACAAACUUGCUUUGGCGGUGGGCCCAGCCUGCCGCCAGAGGUCUAAACUUGCAACCAAUUUUUUAUCAACUUGUCACACCAGAUUAUUACUAAUAGUCAAAACUUUCAACAACGGAUCUCUUGGUUCUCGCAUCGAUGAAGAACGCAGCGAAAUGCGAUACGUAAUAUGAAUUGCAGAUAUUCGUGAAUCAUCGAAUUUUUGAACGCACAUUGCGCCCUCUGGUAUUCCGGAGGGCAUGCCUGUUUGAGCGUCGUUUCUCCCUCAAACCGCUGGGUUUGGUGUUGAGCAAUACGACUUGGGUUUGCUUGAAAGACGGUAGUGGUAAGGCGGGAUCGCUUUGACAAUGGCUUAGGUCUAACCAAAAACAUUGCUUGCGGCGGUAACGUCUACCACGUAUAUCUUCAAACUUUGACCUCAAAUCAGGUAGGACUACCCGCUGAACUUAAGCAUAUCAAAAGCCGGAGGAA
Molecule: ribosomal RNA, 507 nt
Filed under: Candida albicans
Lineage: Eukaryota; Fungi; Ascomycota; Pichiomycetes; Serinales; Debaryomycetaceae
Description: eukaryotic LSU rRNA
Rfam family: 5.8S ribosomal RNA (bases 140-293)
Source: RNAcentral